UCAGAGCGCCUCAGCCCUGUGGUGCCACUUUUGCCAGUGCGCCGUGAACAUCUCUAGGUUAGGAUGCGGUUGGAGACUGUGGAGGCACUGGUGUUGAUGCGACGCUUCAGGUGGGCUGGCGUCUGGGCCUGGUCGCUUCAGUCUUCCUCAAAGCCUCGCCCCCGGUGCUUCGCCCGCUGCUCUGAACGCCCAGUCGUUCCUCAGAGAGCGCCGCAGCGAUCGGCCGACCGCCAUCCCCCGCGCGCCUCUGCGCAGCCCCGGUAUCCCUCUCGAGUGUCCCCAUCCGAGCGGAGGAGAGGCCACCCUCUCUCUCCUUGGCCUGGCCUCCCGGGAAGAAUCGGGAGCGGACCCUGGCGCCUCGGCCGCCGGCGAUGGACGCAGACGCGGACAAUUAGAUGACGGCGGGGGGAAGCGGGACCCCGCCGUCCGCUGCGGGACGCCCGAGGCGGAGAGAGGCCCUUCUGAACUCCGGAUGUUGACGAGACUUAACUAGGGUACCACGGAGGAGUACAGUGAACUGCGGUGGCAUCAGUGGCCUGGAGAAAUUGGCAUUUAAAUCUGUUGUUUUGGGCACCAUGACGCUGAGGCUCUUGGAAGACUGGUGUAAAGGGAUGGAUAUGAACCCUCGGAAAGCUCUAUUGAUUGCCGGCAUCCCCCAGACCUGUAACGUGGCGGAAAUCGAGGAGGCCCUGCGAGCUGGUUUAGCUCCCUUGGGCGAGUACGGACUGCUCGGGAGGAUGUUCCGGAGGGAUGAGAACAGGAAGGUAGCCUUAAUAGGGCUUACUGAGGAGACUAGUCAUGCUCUGGCCCCAAGGAGAUACCCGGAAAAGGGGGUGCCUGGAGAGUGAUCUUUAAGCCCCCUGACCCAGAUAAUGAAUUUUUAAGCAGAUUAAAUGAAUUCUUAGAGGGAGAGGGCAUGACACUGGGUGAGUUUACCAGAGCUCUGGGAUAUGGAAACGACACUUUUGGCCUAGACCAGGACAUAAUCCCAGAAAUGCGGGCCCCUGUGUUGGCACAGGCAUUAGGUGAGGCCCUUCAGCCUGUUCUGCAAUACUUGAAAUACAAAAAGCUGAGAGUAUUCUCAGGCAGUGAUCCUCCGGAACCAGAGGAAGAAGAAUUUGAAUCCUGGCUGUUUCAUACCACUCAAAUGAUGAAGACAUGGCAGGUAUCAGAUGCCGAGAAGAGAAGGAGACGGCUAGAGAGCCUUAGAGGCCCAGCAUCUGAUAUUAUUCGUGUCCUCAAGAUAAACAACCCAUUAAUUACAGUUCCUGAAUGCGUGCAGGCUCUUGAGCAGGUGUUUGGGGUUAUCGAUAAUCCUAGGGAGUUGCAGGUCAAAUAUCUGACCACGUACCAAAAGGAUGAAGAAAAAUUGUCUGCUUACGUGCUAAGGCUGGAGACUUUAUUACAGAAACUGGUAGAGAGAGGUGUAAUUGAGCGAGGAGUUGUGAAUCAGGCCCACCUAGACCAAAUCAUUGCUGGAGCUGUCCCCAGAACCCCGCGCGGAAAGUUUGCUCUGUCAGAGGAUGGCUCAGCCCCUGGCUUAUUGCAGUUACUGACACUGAUAAAGGAUGAAGAGGCAGCUGAGGAGGAGGACCUUCUCCAGGCAGGAUUAGAGGGCCUUCUCACUUGACUCUUGGAAUCAGGAAGGGCUCCCUGGCAGUGAGCAGAGCAUGAAGGUAGAACAGUCCAUAUACCCAGUGAUAGACAUUAACCAAUCCCUGCCUUGCGCUGCCAAGUUAACUCAUUUUUGUGCAGUUCUCAGUAUAAUCCUUUGUCAUUUCUCUGCCUAUUUAAUGUCUCCUAAAUGUGUCAUUGACUAGGAGGAUGCAGUUCUGCACUGGUAUUUAUAUUUUUAAAUUCACCCUGUGAAUUUUUUUUAUCACACACAGCUGUACAGAAAGUCGAAGCACUACACGUGUGUAGUACUUUGAGAGAACAGGCAAGGCUCAGGUACACAUGCUGGCCAGAUCUCCUUGAGCUGUCAGCUUAGGUGAUAAUAGGUGCAAGUGUAGCUGUCAGAUGUGAUAAUGUAUCGUAGUUUCUCUCUUUUUGUUGUUUAUUUGUUUAUGUUAACAUAGUCUACAAUGUGUUAGAUUCUGGUGAAUAGCAAAGUGAUUCAGUUAUGUAUAGAUUCUUUUCCAUUAUAAAUUACUACAAGACAUUGAAUAUAGUGUCCUGUGUUAUAUAGUAGGUCCUUGGUUAUUUUAUAUAUGACAGUGUGUAUCUGUUAAUGCCAAACUUCUGAUUUACCCCUCCCUCCCCACUCUGCCCCCUUUGGUAACCAUAAGUUUGUUUUCUAUGUCUGUGAGUCUAUUUCUGUUUUGUAAAUAAGUUCAUUUGUAUCAUUUUUUAGAUUACACAUAUUAUUAUAUGAUGUUUAUCUUUGUCUGACUUAGUAUGAUCAUUUCUGUGUCCAUCCAUGUUGCUGCAAAUGGCAUUAUUUCAUUCUUUUUAUGGCUGAGUGAUACUCCAUUGUGUAUGUAUAUACCAUAACUUCUUUAUCCAGUCACCUGUCAAUGGACAUUUAGGUUACUUCCAUGUCUUGGCUACAGUAAAUAGUGCUGCUACACAUAUAGUUUUUAGGUAUGUAUUGCUCUACAUUAAUCUGGAAGAUCAUGAGCAGUGGAUAAGAUAUUAUUUUCUGUGUAAAUCGGAAUUUUAUUGCUUCUGUGCCAUCAAAACAGGCAGAAUUAAGUGCUGAAGUUGCUAAGUUUGCAGCUGCCAUCUCUAACCCCAGAUUUCUGAUAUGUGUCAUCGAAACAUUUAGUUCUAGACAUUUUAAUAGGAUAUAAAAUUAUAGUUGUGCACUUAUAAAUGAAUCUGAAUAAAAUGACCUUUUUUUUUUA
This is a long non-coding RNA of Camelus dromedarius (Arabian camel), 2846 nucleotides long. RefSeq lists it as uncharacterized. The transcript is spliced from 2 exons. Lineage: Eukaryota; Metazoa; Chordata; Mammalia; Artiodactyla; Camelidae. The record is from RefSeq and is a predicted model, not a curated record.